AUUGAACGCUGGCGGCGUGCUUAACACAUGCAAGUCGAGCGGUAACAGGCCCGCAAGGGCGCUGACGAGCGGCGGACGGGUGAGCAAUACAUAGGAAUCUACCUUAGAGCGGGGGAUAGCCCGGGGAAACCCGGAUUAAUACCGCAUGAUGUCGAAAGACCAAAGUGGGGGACCGUAAGGCCUCACACUCUGAGAUGAGCCUAUGUCGGAUUAGCUAGUUGGCGGGGUAACGGCCCACCAAGGCGACGAUCCGUAGCUGGUCUGAGAGGACGAUCAGCCACACCGGAACUGAGACACGGUCCGGACUCCUACGGGAGGCAGCAGUGGGGAAUAUUGGACAAUGGGCGAAAGCCUGAUCCAGCGACGCCGCGUGGGUGAAGAAGGCCU
RNAcentral lists this ribosomal RNA (387 nucleotides) under uncultured bacterium. Its description in RNAcentral is "bacterial SSU rRNA". It matches the Rfam family "Bacterial small subunit ribosomal RNA", at positions 29 to 417 of the family's 1533-position model. The record is from RNAcentral.